Molecule: ribosomal RNA, 374 nt
Filed under: uncultured organism
Description: partial 16S ribosomal RNA
Rfam family: Bacterial small subunit ribosomal RNA
Source: RNAcentral
GUAGGUGGCAAGCGUUGUCCGGAAUUAUUGGGCGUAAAGCGCGCGCAGGCGGUUCUUUAAGUCUGAUGUGAAAGCCCACGGCUCAAUCGUGGAGGGUCAUUGGAAACUGGAGAACUUGAGUACAGAAGAGGAAAGCGGAAUUCCACGUGUAGCGGUGAAAUGCGUAGAGAUGUGGAGGAACACCAGUGGCGAAGGCGGCUUUCUGGUCUGUAACUGACGCUGAGGCGCGAAAGCGUGGGGAGCAAACAGGAUUAGAUACCCUGGUAGUCCACGCCGUAAACGAUGAGUGCUAAGUGUUAGGGGGGUUUCCGCCCCCCUUAGUGCUGCAGCUAACGCAUUAAGCACUCCGCCCUGGGAGUACGGCCGCAAGGCUG